UGCUUCUUAAUAACUCAUGCACAUUUAUAUAAAUACAAUUCUUUUACAGUGAUGCCCUUGGGAGUUAUUGUACUACAUAGAGCUGUUUGUGUAGCACUAAAUUAUACUUAUUAUACAAAACUGACUGUGGAAAAGGCUGGGUGUGAGGUCAACAACUAAAUUUCAAAUUAAAGAAGUAAACUUUUUCUACAGUUAUUUUUUUCUCAGUAACUUUCUACUUACUGUUGUGUUCAAAAUUUUGUGAGUUUAUAUUCAAAUUGUGCUAUGCGUUUUUUCCAUAAAUUGAAAUUGCUAGAGCAUUGAUUUUGAAGUAAAUGGGUUUUUGCAUCAUCUAAAGAAGGAAACCUGCAAACACCCUGAAAGCAUCAUAUUAUAAAGCACAACACUGGAAAUCACUGGAUUAAGGCAUCCUGUAAUUAAACUGAUGGUUUUGAUGCUUAUGUGGGUCAUUAGCAUCUGUAUUCCGUGUUUUCAAAAUGUCAAAUUUGUUUCCUGCCCUCUAGUAGCAUUGUAUUUUAAUCUCAGCAAGAUGUAUUUUCUUAUUUUUUUUUUAACAUUUUAAUUCAUUUUUGAGAGACAGAGAGAGAACACUAGCGGAGUAAGGGCACAGACAGAGGGAGACACAGAAUCUGAUUCAGGCUCCAGGCUCUGAGCUGUCAGCACCGAGCCUGACAUGGGGGCUAGAACUCAUGAACCGCAAGAUUAUGACCUGAGCUGAAGUUGGACGCUUAACCGACUGGGUCACCCAGGUGUACCAAGAUGUAUUUUCAAAGGACAAAAUAAUAAAGAGGAUUAUUAUGAACAAAUUAAUUUAAACAUUUAUGAUGUGUUUUGAUUUAUUGCAAUAAUUUUCUUAUUAAUGCUCUUGUUUUCCAAUUUUUGACGAAUCAAUAUGACUCCUGAGUUCUUUUGAUAUUACCUUAAUUGUUUUUUUGAUAUUUUUAUUGCUUUUGGUGUGCAAAGAUGCAGGCUUACCUUGUAUAUUUCCUACCUCAACCUUGACAUCACUUAUUUCUCUAAGGAUAUCCAGUUCCUUUGGAGGAAAUGGUAUUUAGUAGCCAUAAUCUUAACAGUUAGAGUGCUCAUUAUAGUCUAGUUAAUCAUAGUUUCCAGGAUUUUCAGUUGACAGAGUUACAUAGCUUUAAGAGAAAUUAUAUCUUUAUUUUAUAUUCAUAUUUUACAUUCAAUAUAAGAAAAAUAUUUUUUAUUUAACUUAAAUUUAUAUUUUUAUCUCUUAAUGUAGAAAAUUUUGGUUCUAUAAUAUUAAUUACGAGUGUUAUAUGUAAUAUAUACUAUAAUUAUCAUAUGUAUAUGUACAUAGUCUUAGAAUUAAUAAUAACAAAUUAUGAACAUUAUUAAAGCAUUUUAAGUACUUUGAAGUUUUUUUUUUUUAAAUAUCUUAGCCUACAUCUCACCAGGAAUAGUAAUUCAAAUUCCUGUGUUUUAAAUGUGUAUUAUUUUUUGAGACAGAGAGCAUGAGCAUGGGAGGGGCAGAGAGAAAGGAGAACAGAGAAUCUGAAACGGGUUCCGUGCUGACCGCAGCAAGCCUGAUGUUGGGCUCAAACUCACAAACCGCGAGGUCAUGACCUGAGCUGAAGUCAGACAUUCAAUCAACUGAGCCACCCAGGUUUUUAAAUGAAGAAGAGCCCUAUUUGAGGAGCCUCAACCAAACAAGGACAUGAUUUGGAUAAUGACACCCUGAAUUUUAGCCUAAGGCCAUGAUGUAGUGAGUUAGAAGUCUUAUAAGUGAGUGUAUUUUGCAUUUGGAAGAGAAUUGUCUGUAAUACCUAGUCUCAAGAUGAUAUAUCCUGGGUCGCCCGGGUGGCUCAGUCGGUUGAGUGUCUGACUGCAGCUCAGGUUGUGAUCUCAAGGUUCAUGAGUUCAAGCCCCACAUCAGGUUCUGUGCUGACAGCUCAGAGAUGUUUGGAACCUGCUUUGGAUUCUGUGUCUCCCUCCUUCUCUGCUCCUCCUCAGCUUGUGCUCUGCUUCUCUCUCUCAAAAAUAAAUAAACAUAAAAAAGAUUUUUUUAAAGAUGAUA
Acinonyx jubatus (cheetah) is the source of this 2038-nucleotide long non-coding RNA. RefSeq lists it as uncharacterized. The record is from RefSeq and is a predicted model, not a curated record. NCBI's taxonomy places the organism in Eukaryota, Metazoa, Chordata, Mammalia, Carnivora, Felidae. The transcript is spliced from 2 exons.